AGGCACACGACGUCAAACCGACGUUGAUAAUAUGUAGAAAUUUGGUCAUGACGUCGGACACCAUAAAAUCGACGUCAAUUCAACGUUAGAAUUUCAAUGUUGAUCAUGUGUCAGAUAUCGACGUUGGAAUCACAUUGAAAUCUCGUUAAAAAUUCACCGAUCUGAAAACUGACCUAUUUUGUACGUUGAAAUGUGGUUGGAACCUGACGCUGAACCAACGUCUUUCUUCCACGAUAAAUUCACCGUCGAUUCAACGAUAGGAUUACAACGUCACUUCUACGUCCUAUACCGACGAUAAAUCACAUUGAAAAGUUGUUAGGAAUUCACUAAUUUGAAGACUCCUAUGCUCUAAAAGUUGAAUUUUGGUUGUAACCUGACGGUGAACCAACGCCUUUCGUCAACCAUAAAGUCAACGUCAGCUGAAUGUUAGAAUCACAACGUUGGUUAUAUGUCACAUGUCGACGUGGAAAUUACAAAGAGUUGUGGUUGGAAGUUCACCAAGAUGAAGACAUGACUUGUAUAUACUUUCUAAGUUGAAUUUUGCUUGUAACCUGACGAUGAAUCAAUGUCUGUCCUGAACCAUAAAGUCAAUGUCAAUGGAAUAUUAGAAUUACAACGUUGAUUAUAUGUUGGAUGUCGACGUGGAAAUCACAUUGGAAUAUUGGUUGGAUUUCACCAAGAUAAAGGCUGACCUGCUUUAAGUUGAAUUAAGGAUGAAAAUGGUUACUGAACUAACAUUUUCUUUUCAGUGUGAUAGCCACAUUAACUGUAAAGUGUAACAAAGUCACAAUGCCAAUGGAUAUAUACAUAUUCCCUACUCUUGUUGAAAAUCUAUUGUGAAUCUAACACAAUUUCAAUGUUGAUACUUUAUUACAUUUUGUAUUCUAUACCUACUGAUACCAAAAUGGAUAUCACAAUACUGUCACGAAAUGUGAGUAAUAACUGCAGAAUAGCAUAUUGUAACAGCAGAACAUUCGUGUCCCAGUGGAUAUAGCGUUAAUUGGCGUUAAUCCAUCAAGUACUACCUAAAAGGAAUCUAACUCUGUGUAAACACUAAUCCUCCCCAACGGCACCAUUCCGGCGUCUAUAGCAUUCAGACUAAUAAGGAUAUAAUUUGGGUUUAAAAGGGGUUACGGUCGCUGGUAUGGUUGGAACAUUAUUGGAACCUCCUUCUCCGCGCCUGUGCGUCCGCCGCCUGGAAAUUUACGAGGCAGGGUGAGUAUAUGGUGCCAUUUCUCCAUGAUUAUAACACGUUACCAUUCCAGAUUGCUAUGAAGGGUGAAUGGGUGACCAGUGUAGCUGUGCAGCCUAUGGAGCAUUGGCACAGUGCCCGGGAACACCGUGAAAUAAGGGGGGGUGUUGGGGGGUGAUUUGAAUAUGGCGAGUGAAACGUGAUUCGAUAUUUUCAUUCUUUUAUUUUUUGCUCAGCUUUUAGGCGUGUACAGAAGUUGUUAUUCACGUCAAAUGUUCUUGGAUACCUGGUUGGUGUAUGGUAUAAGCGGUGCACGUGAUGGGUAACGAUUAAUGGCUGUUUUCUGCUCUCAAAUAAGGCUGCGCCUCACACGUGUGGGGCGGGUCGGGGCGGGGCGUCUGCGUGGCGGUGCGGCGGGAUAUCAAAGUUUUACGGUUUGUUGAGUGUGUGUGCCGUGAAUCAACUCCUUAUUCACGCCAUUUAUUCCCCGAUACUUGCUUCAUACGUGACAUAAGCAACGCACCUCAGGGAUAACUAUUAAUGGCUGUUUUCAGGUCGUAAAUAUGGCUGUUUGGGGCUUCGUCAGCUUCGCCCCCCUCCAAACCCCAUCUGUCGGGAGGUGCUUCGCCCCCUCGACCCCCCCGCCUAUCGGGAGGGGCUGCGCUCCCCGUCGACCCCCCUUCCCUCUGUUAAACAACACUGGCACCUAGAGGCUAGAGCAGAUGGUUAUGCCCAUUCAUUUAGGUCAGUCCGCCAGUUAUUAACAAAUAAGAAUCCCGUGAGUGGAGAAACGGUAAUGCUAAUGCUCGUUAAACAACCGAAAAUUCUGCCGUCGGGCCCCCCCCAAGCUUUGUUCCUAGAUCCGCGCCUGCAUUCAGUCGUUUAUAAGUACCAGCCCGCCGUAGAUAUACAAGCCCCAGAACACAAAGGCCUCGCAGAUUUCACCACAUUUACCACUUUAUUAGGGUAAGUUUGAGUUUGUCAUGCAUUCACAGUUCAAGUUAAACAAUGUACAAGAGUUCUCAGAGUAUCAAAAAGGUGCUAUACCAUGUAUAACCUUAGUAUUCAUAGUAUAUAAGUUAGUAAGUAUUUUGUGGAGUCAGCAAAUUCUUUCUUGUCUGUUCCCAUUUCCCUACCUCAAGCUACUACCUCCUGCGUAGUUAUAUACUCUUUGUGUCAAGUAAAUUUAAGAGUGCUACCAUAAUACUCAUGUUAUUUUGUAUACAUAAUGUAAGAAUUAGUGCAUUUCUGUAGAUUUAUAAAUAAUAAGACAGGGUAUUAUGAAGUUUAAAGAUUAUUAUGAAGUUUAAUAAGUGCCUGCAAGAAUAUAUAAGCAAUUAAUUCUUGCAGGGUGCAAGAUAUGCAAGAUAUGCAAGAUACAUGCAAAACUGGAGUCAGAGGUUUGAUCUUCCACCAAGCACCACCGCCCACUUCAAGAUAUAUCUUCGAUCAGCUCUAUAACAGACUACUGGACUGUGGAUGUGUCAGACUAUAUAAUACAGAGUGUCCUAACUCAUCAGUCUGGGACAGAAUCCAGUGUUGCAGAGGCUGUGGCUAAAUGCUUGAAAUAUGCACCUGAUAGGAUUGGAGGAGGUGGACGGAAAGUCUCAAAUGAAGCAUCACCAGGUUCAUCUGACCAUCCUGGUCCCUGUUCAUCCGUGUCCAAGUCUGACCACUCUACGGCAACAAUCAAAAAGAGAAAGUUUGUACAUGAAGAGGUGUCACCUCCUUCAAGCAAUUCGUCUGGAACAACAAUGCUUUUACCACUGGAAAUUGAUGAAAUGUCAUCUGAGUCUUUGUUGGAAAAUGAAAGCUCUGAUGAGUGAUGAAUAUAUAUAUGUAUAGGGAAACUCAAUUUAGUUUCUGCAAGGUACAUGAACAGCCGGAGUAGAGAAGAGGGGGAUGAGAGGUCUCAUACUUCUAGAACCUUUAUUUUCUGCUCUGAUUGCGUCACCCUCCUUUUGUUGGAGGAAAUUGGCCGUAGCAUAUAGAUACUUAGUAAAGUAACCGAGUAGUAUAUCCACUUUGCUGCAACUGUAAUAUAUACUCCUGCAAAUACCUAUGCAUUAAAUAUCCAAAUGCAAAGUUAUGAUUUCAUAUUGGUCACUACAAACAUGCAUUAAUGUGUUGUAGCUUAACUUUUGUAUCCUAUGUACUUUGUACUAUGUACUUAGCUAACAUACAAGUCCAUGUAGUGAAAAACGCCUUUACAAGAUGUUUUAUGCAAAUGACAUGAAAGGUAAAGAUAAUAAUAAUAAUGUUGGUACACAUAUACAGACACUUUAUUUUUACCUACUGCAACUGUUUCUGUAACUUUCCCCAGUUUCAAAAUGAUGUUACCUACUCUGAGAAACCAUUGUUCAGUAAUGUUAAACUCAAAAUCAACUUAAAUUUUAGCUAAAGUCAAGUGUUUACAAGUUAUUCAUGUGUUCAGUAUGGGUGAU
This is a long non-coding RNA of Eriocheir sinensis (Chinese mitten crab), 3636 nucleotides long. RefSeq lists it as uncharacterized. NCBI's taxonomy places the organism in Eukaryota, Metazoa, Arthropoda, Malacostraca, Decapoda, Varunidae. The record is from RefSeq and is a predicted model, not a curated record. The transcript is spliced from 3 exons.